This 417-nucleotide small RNA is filed under the name Pan troglodytes (chimpanzee). RNAcentral's name for it is "processed transcript". Lineage: Eukaryota; Metazoa; Chordata; Mammalia; Primates; Hominidae. The record is from RNAcentral.
GAUUGAUUGCGUCGUGGAGAGACAGUGUGUGGAUGAGGGAGGGUCACAGCACAUGCUCAGUCCUGUCAGAGUGAGGGGAAGUUUCUGCGUUCUGCGUGAAGGCUUAGGUCAUAGCACAAGCUCAGUGAAAGCUCUAUGAGGUCUCUGAGACUGCAUGUGCCUCCAUUUUGAGUUGUUAGUGAGAAAAGGGCAGAGUUUUAGCAGAAAGUAAAGGUUCAGGAAUCCAGCUAGACUCACCAGAGCCCGUGUUAGUCAUGGAUGAUCCAUUCAGCCCCUGCAGGCCAAACUUCCAGAUCUGCAACCAUUUCCUUCUCCAGAUGGUGAUACAGUGACCCAACAUGAGGAACUGGUCUGGAUGCCUGGAGUUAACGACUGUGACCUCCUUAUGUACUUGAGGGCAGCAAGGAGCAUGGCGGC